AAUGAACGCUGGUGGCGCGCCUAAUACAUGCAAGUCGAGCGAGAAGACGUAGCAAUACGUUUGUAAAGCGGCGAACGGGUGAGGAAUACAUGGGUAACCUACCCUCGAGUGGGGAAUAACUAGCCGAAAGGUUAGCUAAUACCGCGUACGCUCCUUGGACUUCGGUUCAGGGAGGAAAGCGAUACCGUGGGUAUCGCGCUCUUGGUUGGCUCAUGUCCUAUCAGCUUGCUGGNGAGGUAACGGCUCACCAAGGCUUCGACGGGUAGCUGGUCUGAGAGGACGAUCAGCCACACUGGCACUGCGACACGGGCCAGACUCCUACGGGAGGCAGCAGUAAGGAAUAUUGCGCAAUGGGGCGAAAGCCUGACGCAGCGGCGCCGCGGUGGGGGA
Molecule: ribosomal RNA, 390 nt
Filed under: uncultured bacterium
Lineage: Bacteria
Description: bacterial SSU rRNA
Rfam family: Bacterial small subunit ribosomal RNA
Source: RNAcentral